Molecule: ribosomal RNA, 424 nt
Filed under: uncultured bacterium
Lineage: Bacteria
Description: bacterial SSU rRNA
Rfam family: Bacterial small subunit ribosomal RNA
Source: RNAcentral
GGGCCCGCACAAGCGGUGGAGUAUGUGGUUUAAUUCGAUGCAACGCGAAGAACCUUACCAGGGCUUAAAUGCAGAACGACCGGCGUGGAAACAUGCCUUUCUUCGGACGGACUGCAAGGUGCUGCAUGGUCGUCGUCAGCUCGUGCCGUGAGGUGUCGGGUUAAGUCCCAUAACGAGCGCAACCCCUAUCUUUAGUUGCCAGCGGAUAAUGCCGGGGACUCUAGAGAAACUGCCAGCGUAAGCUGUGAGGAAGGUGGGGAUGACGUCAGAUCAUCACGGCCCUUACGUCCUGGGCUACACACGUGCUACAAUGGCAAGGACAAUGAGCUGCCAACCCGCGAGGGUGAGCAAAUCUUCAAACCUUGUCUCAGUUCGGAUCGGAGUCUGCAACUCGACUCCGUGAAGUUGGAAUCGCUAGUAAUCG